CCUACGGGGGGCAGCAGUGGGGAAUAUUGGACAAUGGGCGAAAGCCUGAUCCAGCCAUGCCGCGUGUGUGAAGAAGGCCUUCGGGUUGUAAAGCACUUUCAGUGGGGAAGAAAGCCUUGGGGCUAAUACCCUCGAGGAAGGACAUCACCCACAGAAGAAGCACCGGCUAACUCCGUGCCAGCAGCCGCGGUAAUACGGAGGGUGCGAGCGUUAAUCGGAAUUAUUGGGCGUAAAGCGCGCGUAGGCGGUCUGAUAAGCCGGUUGUGAAAGCCCCGGGCUCAACCUGGGAACGGCAUCCGGAACUGUCAGGCUAGAGUGCAGGAGAGGAAGGUAGAAUUCCCGGUGUAGCGGUGAAAUGCGUAGAGAUCGGGAGGAAUACCAGUGGCGAAGGCGGCCUUCUGGACUGACACUGACGCUGAGGUGCGAAAGCGUGGGUAGCAAACAGGAUUAGAUACCCGGGUAGUC
This 465-nucleotide ribosomal RNA is filed under the name Vreelandella stevensii. RNAcentral describes it as "partial 16S ribosomal RNA". It matches the Rfam family "Bacterial small subunit ribosomal RNA", at positions 338 to 795 of the family's 1533-position model. The record is from RNAcentral. Lineage: Bacteria; Pseudomonadati; Pseudomonadota; Gammaproteobacteria; Oceanospirillales; Halomonadaceae.